RNAcentral lists this ribosomal RNA (404 nucleotides) under Bacillota bacterium. RNAcentral describes it as "Firmicutes bacterium partial 16S ribosomal RNA". It matches the Rfam family "Bacterial small subunit ribosomal RNA", at positions 355 to 776 of the family's 1533-position model. The record is from RNAcentral. Lineage: Bacteria; Bacillati; Bacillota.
UCGGGAAUUUUGGGCAAUGGGGGAAACCCUGACCCAGCAACGCCGCGUGAAGGAUGAAGUAUUUCGGUAUGUAAACUUCGAAAGAAUAGGAAGAAUUAAUGACGGUACUAUUUAUAAGGUCCGGCUAACUACGUGCCAGCAGCCGCGGUAAUACGUAGGGACCAAGCGUUGUUCGGAUUUACUGGGCGUAAAGGGCGCGUAGGCGGCGCGGUAAGUCACUUGUGAAAUCUCUGAGCUUAACUCAGAACGGCCAAGUGAUACUGCAGUGCUAGAGUGUGGAAGGGGCAAUCGGAAUUCUUGGUGUAGCGGUGAAAUGCGUAGAUAUCAAGAGAAACACCUGAGGUGAAGACGGGUUGCUGGGCCAACACUGACGCUGAGGCGCGAAAGCCAGGGGAGCAAACGGG